UACGGAGGAUCCGAGCGUUAUCCGGAUUUAUUGGGUUUAAAGGGAGCGUAGGUGGAUUGUUAAGUCAGUUGUGAAAGUUUGCGGCUCAACCGUAAAAUUGCAGUUGAAACUGGCAGUCUUGAGUACAGUAGAGGUGGGCGGAAUUCCUAGUGUAGCGGUGAAAUGCGUAGAUAUUAGGAGGAACACCAGUGGCGAAGGCGGUCUGCUGGACUGCAACUGACACUGAGGCUCGAAAGUGUGGGUAUCAAACAGG
RNAcentral lists this ribosomal RNA (253 nucleotides) under uncultured Bacteroides sp. Its description in RNAcentral is "partial 16S ribosomal RNA". It matches the Rfam family "Bacterial small subunit ribosomal RNA", at positions 524 to 776 of the family's 1533-position model. The record is from RNAcentral. Lineage: Bacteria; Pseudomonadati; Bacteroidota; Bacteroidia; Bacteroidales; Bacteroidaceae.